This 1025-nucleotide ribosomal RNA is filed under the name Undibacterium sp. Its description in RNAcentral is "bacterial SSU rRNA". It matches the Rfam family "Bacterial small subunit ribosomal RNA", at positions 45 to 1066 of the family's 1533-position model. Lineage: Bacteria; Pseudomonadati; Pseudomonadota; Betaproteobacteria; Burkholderiales; Oxalobacteraceae. The record is from RNAcentral.
UGCCUUACACAUGCAAGUCGAACGGCAGCGCGGGGUAACCUGGCGGCGAGUGGCGAACGGGUGAGUAAUAUAUCGGAACAUACCCUAGAGUGGGGGAUAACGUAGCGAAAGUUACGCUAAUACCGCAUACGCACUAAGGUGGAAAGCGGGGGAUCGCAAGACCUCGUGCUCAUGGAGUGGCCGAUAUCUGAUUAGCUAGUUGGUAGGGUAAAAGCCUACCAAGGCGACGAUCAGUAGCUGGUUUGAGAGAACGACCAGCCACACUGGAACUGAGACACGGUCCAGACUCCUACGGGAGGCAGCAGUGGGGAAUUUUGGACAAUGGGGGCAACCCUGAUCCAGCAAUGCCGCGUGAGUGAAGAAGGCCCUCGGGUUGUAAAGCUCUUUUGUCAGGGAAGAAACGGUGGUUCCUAAUACGGACUGCUAAUGACGGUACCUGAAGAAUAAGCACCGGCUAACUACGUGCCAGCAGCCGCGGUAAUACGUAGGGUGCAAGCGUUAAUCGGAAUUACUGGGCGUAAAGCGUGCGCAGGCGGUUUUAUAAGUCUGAUGUGAAAUCCCCGGGCUCAACCUGGGAACUGCAUUGGAGACUGUAAGGCUAGAGUGUGUCAGAGGGGGGUAGAAUUCCACGUGUAGCAGUGAAAUGCGUAGAUAUGUGGAGGAAUACCGAUGGCGAAGGCAGCCCCCUGGGAUAACACUGACGCUCAUGCACGAAAGCGUGGGGAGCAAACAGGAUUAGAUACCCUGGUAGUCCACGCCCUAAACGAUGUCUACUAGUUGUCGGGUCUUAAUUGACUUGGUAACGCAGCUAACGCGUGAAGUAGACCGCCUGGGGAGUACGGUCGCAAGAUUAAAACUCAAAGGAAUUGACGGGGACCCGCACAAGCGGUGGAUGAUGUGGAUUAAUUCGAUGCAACGCGAAAAACCUUACCUACCCUUGACAUGGAAGGAAUCCCGAAGAGAUUUGGGAGUGCUCGAAAGAGAACCUUUACACAGGUGCUGCAUGGCUGUCGUCAGCUCGUGUC